Molecule: long non-coding RNA, 218 nt
Filed under: Elaeis guineensis (African oil palm)
Lineage: Eukaryota; Viridiplantae; Streptophyta; Magnoliopsida; Arecales; Arecaceae
Description: long non-coding RNA (EGUI_LNC079650)
Source: RNAcentral
UCAGUGCUGGAGUCUUUUCAAAUCGAGGCGACCCGAAAAGAUUCUUUCAAAAUUUCUGCUGGAGCGUUGUCUCAGGUACGGUGCAAUAAUGAUUCUGUCAGUCAUCAGCCAUCUGCCACGACGAGUGGGACACGCGGCAGUUGUAGGUCGGCCAAAGGAGAUCUGCAAUCAUUAUUGUGUCGGAUCCUGAGGUCUAUUUAAACCCAUCCCCCUCCUUC